Molecule: non-coding RNA, 115 nt
Organism: Spirodela intermedia
Lineage: Eukaryota; Viridiplantae; Streptophyta; Magnoliopsida; Alismatales; Araceae
Source: the annotation of a GenBank genome assembly
ACCCCUAAAUGGGAGAGUUGCCAGCGGAUCCCAUAAGAACUCUGGAGUUAAGCGUGCUUAGGUGGGAGCAGUCACGGAUGGGUGACCUCCUGGGAAGUCCCAAAGAUGCGUGUGC